Long non-coding RNA from Dunckerocampus dactyliophorus (ringed pipefish), 552 nucleotides. RefSeq lists it as uncharacterized. NCBI's taxonomy places the organism in Eukaryota, Metazoa, Chordata, Actinopteri, Syngnathiformes, Syngnathidae. The transcript has 6 exons. The record is from RefSeq and is a predicted model, not a curated record.
GGAAGAGUAAAUGUGUACUGAGAACCAUAGAGCUGAAAAUGGAACAUGGGAAAUCAAAAGCUUGAUGCAGAACACAUCCCGCUCAACUUCCCUAAAUGCCGUCUGUCCACCACACAUCAUCAAACGGUCAAAUAAAAAGCUAGAUGCAAGAAGCUCCACUCCACUUCCCUAAAUGUGAUGUCCGUCACAUGUUGUCACGUCGGGUGCCAGUGAUGGCAACUGACAUUUACUCUUAAUGUGGAACAACAACAGGCAUCUCCAAUGUGCACGUCAGGCGGCGUCAAAGUCAAUGCUACAAACAUUAAAGGAAGAGCCGUCUUCAGAAAUCCUCCCUCUCUUGCACACGUAACAUCAAAGGUUACUAACGUCAAUGAGUGGUUUCAUCUUUGGCAAUCCUCUUUCUCUUGUGCAUGCUUCAUCAAAGGGUGAGUACACAGUUUUUUUUUAAUGCUAUUAUUAAUAAGCGUUAACUUAUACACUUGUGAAGAAUGUUCAAAUGUUAUGUAAAACAUUACCUAGACGUUAAAAAAAUGGUAAUGGUGACAGUUUGAC